UUGUAUGACUAGACAUGUAACCAGUGUCCUGGGAAGAUACUUUAUCCCAGCAUUAUGUGGAGAUUCGUUUCCUCCUACCAGUGAGACAGAAGGAGAAGACCCAACCAAAUGCUGUUACUAGUGGUCCUGUGGCACUUUUCAUAGUGUGUCUAAAUUCUGGUGGAGGUCAAUCCUGCACGAAUUUUGCUUUGGAUAAAUUGGAUAAAUCUCUUGGUGAGAGAAGCUGUUGCAAGCACAUGCUGCCCUGUCUCCACCUGUAGCCACAGUGGAACUCCAGUUCUGUUGUUCCUCCUCCUGAGCUUCACUCUGACAUGCCGAGUCUCAGAAAGACCUGUCCCGAUUCCAAGAGUCUCUCUUUCUGGGAGGGACACAGUUGUUAGCGCACAUUGCUAAGACGAUCCAUUGUGUAUUGUCCAACACACUUCCUCAUUUGUGUCCUUGUUGUCAGGUUAGUCUCUGAAGGAGCUGCUGCUGCUGCUGAAACCAACUUAUUUUGGGAAGCUACAUAAAAUUACUGUUUCCAUGCAAA
Molecule: long non-coding RNA, 529 nt
Organism: Manacus vitellinus (golden-collared manakin)
Lineage: Eukaryota; Metazoa; Chordata; Aves; Passeriformes; Pipridae
Exons: 2
Source: RefSeq, a predicted model, not a curated record